RNAcentral lists this ribosomal RNA (494 nucleotides) under uncultured bacterium. Its description in RNAcentral is "partial 16S ribosomal RNA". It matches the Rfam family "Bacterial small subunit ribosomal RNA", at positions 28 to 507 of the family's 1533-position model. The record is from RNAcentral.
GACGAACGCUGGCGGCGUGCUUAACACAUGCAAGUCGAACGGAAAGGCCUGCUUUCCCUUGUGGAUUGCGGGUACUCGAGUGGCGAACGGGUGAGUAACACGUGAGUGAUCUGCCCCCAACUUGGGUAUAAGCCUGGGAAACUGGGUCUAAUUCCCGAUAGGACUGCAGGGUGGUGCCUGUGGUGGAAAACGAUUUUCUAGUGGUUGGGGAUGAGCUCGCGGCCUAUCAGCUUGUUGGUGGGGUAAUGGCCUACCAAGGCGGCGACGGGUAGCCGGCCUGAGAGGGUGGACGGCCACAUUGGGACUGAGAUACGGCCCAGACUCCUACGGGAGGCAGCAGUGGGGAAUAUUGCACAAUGGGCGGAAGCCUGAUGCAGCGACGCCGCGUGGGGGAUGACGGCCUUCGGGUUGUAAACUCCUUUCGACCGCGAGGACGCCACCUGGUUGGAAGGGUGGUGACGGUAGUGGUAGAAGAAGCACCGGCUAACUACGUG